This 839-nucleotide small RNA is filed under the name uncultured Neurospora. RNAcentral describes it as "eukaryotic LSU rRNA". The stretch from base 565 to 839 matches the Rfam family "Eukaryotic large subunit ribosomal RNA", at positions 1 to 281 of the family's 3401-position model. The record is from RNAcentral. Lineage: Eukaryota; Fungi; Ascomycota; Sordariomycetes; Sordariales; Sordariaceae.
CUUGGUCAUUUAGAGGAAGUAAAAGUCGUAACAAGGUCUCCGUUGGUGAACCAGCGGAGGGAUCAUUACAGAGUUGCAAAACUCCCACAAACCAUCGCGAAUCUUACCCGUACGGUUGCCUCGGCGCUGGCGGUCCGGAAGGCCCUCGGGCCCCCGGAUCCUCGGGUCUCCCGCUCGCGGGAGGCUGCCCGCCGGAGUGCCGAAACCAAACUCUUGAUAUUUUAUGUUUCUCUGAGUAAACUUUUAAAUAAGUCAAAACUUUCAACAACGGAUCUCUUGGUUCUGGCAUCGAUGAAGAACGCAGCGAAAUGCGAUAAGUAAUGUGAAUUGCAGAAUUCAGUGAAUCAUCGAAUCUUUGAACGCACAUUGCGCUCGCCAGUAUUCUGGCGAGCAUGCCUGUUCGAGCGUCAUUUCAACCAUCAAGCUCUGCUUGCGUUGGGGAUCCGCGUCUGACGCGGUCCCUCAAAAACAGUGGCGGGCUCGCUAGUCACACCGAGCGUAGUAACUCUACAUCGCUAUGGUCGUGCGGCGGGUUCUUGCCGUAAAACCCCCAAUUUCUAAGGUUGACCUCGGAUCAGGUAGGAAUACCCGCUAAACUUAAGCAUAUCAAUAAGCGGAGGAAAAGAAACCAACAGGGAUUGCCCUAGUAACGGCGAGUGAAGCGGCAACAGCUCAAAUUUGAAAUCUGGCUUCGGCCCGAGUUGUAAUUUGUAGAGGAAACUUUUGGUGAGGCACCUUCUGAGUCCCUUGGAACAGGGCGCCAUAGAGGGUGAGAGCCCCGUAUAGUCGGAUGCCGAUCCAAUGUAAAGUUCCUUCGACGAGUCGAGUUGUUUGGGAAU